CCAGAAUGCCGCUCGCGCUAGGCCCCGCCCCCCUGACGCACAGUCGGGCCAGCUGCAGGGAUGGUACAAGCAGGAUUGCAUUUCCUGACUUCCUUGUAGUUGGGAUGAGUCACAUGACACAUUCUGCCAUGAAUUGUGAGCAUAGCAUUUAAUUGCUGAUGCAAGACCUUCCAGAACUCUUUUUGCUCUUUGCCAUGGCAAUCAACAAUGUUCCAGAGAGUAUAUGCUCUGUAUCACCUUUAUUCUACAUAUGGACAUAGGUAGGAGGAGACUGCAGUGGGGUCUGUAUCACUCCUGCUCAAGUGAACACAUCUGGGCCCAAAGUUGUCUUCCAGGAUCAGAUGGAGAAGCUGGAGUAUCCCUUCUGAGGAAUUCCUACUAAGGAAUCUCUACCUCAGCAUGC
This is a non-coding RNA of Leptonychotes weddellii (Weddell seal), 403 nucleotides long. Lineage: Eukaryota; Metazoa; Chordata; Mammalia; Carnivora; Phocidae. The record is from RefSeq and is a predicted model, not a curated record.